RNAcentral lists this transfer RNA (73 nucleotides) under Camelus bactrianus (Bactrian camel). It matches the Rfam family "tRNA". Rfam says of the family: Transfer RNA (tRNA) molecules are approximately 80 nucleotides in length. Their secondary structure includes four short double-helical elements and three loops (D, anti-codon, and T loops). The record is from Rfam by way of RNAcentral. RNAcentral also lists the same sequence under 2 other names. Lineage: Eukaryota; Metazoa; Chordata; Mammalia; Artiodactyla; Camelidae.
GAGAGCAUAGCUCAGUGGUAGAGUGCGUGCUGAAGCAUGUCUGAGUUCCUGGGUUCAAGCCCCAGUACCUCCA